RNAcentral lists this ribosomal RNA (427 nucleotides) under uncultured eukaryote. RNAcentral describes it as "bacterial SSU rRNA". It matches the Rfam family "Eukaryotic small subunit ribosomal RNA", at positions 592 to 1018 of the family's 1831-position model. The record is from RNAcentral.
CAAUAGCGUAUAUUAAAGUUGUUGCAGUUAAAAAGCUCGUAGUUGGAUUUCUGAGGGGAGCGACCGGUCGGCGCCCUAGUGGCGUGUGCACUGUUUGUCGGCUUCUUUCAUCCUGGUCGAAAAGUUCUCUGCGCUUCAUUGCGUGGGGUCCGGAUCGGCCACAUUUACUGUGAAAAAUUAGAGUGUUUAAAGCAGGCGAUCGCUGUGAAUACAUUAGCAUGGAAUAAUAAGAUAGGACUUUGGUACUAUUUUGUUGGUUUGCGUUACGAAGUAAUGAUUAAUAGGGACAGUUGGGGGUAUUCGUAUUUCAUUGUCAGAGGUGAAAUUCUUGGAUUUCUGAAAGACGAACUACUGCGAAAGCAUUUACCAAGGAUGUUUUCAUUAAUCAAGAACGAAAGUUAGGGGAUCGAAGAUGAUCAGAUACCAU